RNAcentral lists this long non-coding RNA (2128 nucleotides) under Megachile rotundata (alfalfa leafcutting bee). Its description in RNAcentral is "uncharacterized LOC105662492". The record is from RNAcentral. Lineage: Eukaryota; Metazoa; Arthropoda; Insecta; Hymenoptera; Megachilidae.
AUCCACCGAUCUAGGGAUCCAUGGAUCUAGGGAUCCACCGAUCUAGGGAUGCAAGGAUCUAGGGAUCCACCGAUCUAGGAAUCCACCGAUCUAGGAAUGCAAGCAUCUAGGGAUCCACCGAUCUAGGGAUUCACGAAUCUAGGGAUCCACCGAUCUAGGGAUGCAAGGAUUUAGGUAUCCACGGAUCUAGGAAUCCACCGAUCUAGGGAUCCACGGAUCUAGGGAUCCACGAUAUCUUGAGGUAUCUAUAUUAUUGACGUAAAGAUACCUCAAGAGACUGAAUAGUAAAUGUCGAGACAAACAUAUCAAACUCUUGUCAACUCUUAGUAUUGUGAAGUUCAUCGAAGUCAUCUGACGAUAUUAUGAUAACUGAGGUAUCUGUAUAACUGAUGUAAAGAUACCUCAAGAGACUGAAUAGUAAAUGUCGAGACAAACAUAUCAAACUCUUGUCAUCUCUUAGUUUUGUGAAGUUUAUCGAAGUCAUCUUUAACUAUUUAAUGUGGGUACCGAAUAGUAAAUGUCAAGAUGAACAUAUCAAACUUUUAUUGUCAUUUCCUAGUAUGUCAUUGUAAAGUUUCUCGAAGUCAUCUUACAAUAUUCUGACAAGUUUGAUGUUCACAUCGAAUGGUAAAUAUCGAGACAAAUACUUUUACUGUCAUCUCUUAGCAUAUCAUUGUAAAGUUUCUCGAAGUCAUCUCCUGUAUUUACGUUUUGAUACAAAGUGUUCGACACAUGGUAAUUUAAUAAUUUAAAAUUGCAAGGACUAUAGCUGGUAGACGCUAAAAACCUCAAGGAAACAGCCAUAUUAUUUAUGAUAAACGAUAGCCAUCAGUGUCGAAAUUUUUGUCAACUCAUCUACAUUAUUUUUAUAUAACUUUGCCAGUUCCUACGUUUUAUUCGUUUUCAGCGAACAUUUGGAAUGUCCCGCCACAGUCAUCAACAGUGGAGAUUCUGGGAAGCCAGGGUACUGCUUUCUCUUUCCCCUGAACCGAGUAUUACGUUGCGGUAAAACACACGAUUUUGAAAAGUUAUAACAAGAAGAAGCUCCCUUUACUCUUGGUUACGCCAAUGAUUAUGGCUGACAUUCUGGUGCAGCCGCAAGGUUUCGUCGCUCGUCAUUACAAUAUUGAAAUGAAGCAGAAAUAACAAUUACGUCAAUGAUGAUCAACGUUACUUUGUACCCGAGUCAAGGAAACUGUGCAUUUAACGAGACAAGGAAAGUCCAUCUUCCGCUACUAAAGAUAAACUCGAACAAAGAGAAGCUGAAGGACGCUGACCUUUACCUCAAGAAACACGAGAACAACUUCUCAAGAAGAAAGAACUUCAUGUUCCAAUCAGACGUCUCAUAAAUUAUGAAUCAAACGCGUAACAAAUACAAACACCAUUUUUUAUUUUCGAACUGCAAAAAAUGAUUUUAAAAAUGAAUGAUGGGAAAUGUAACUUCUUGCGGGAUCAAAGUUCAUAAAGAAAAAGCGAUCGAGCCAGUUUCCUGGUACUUUUAUGAUGAUCUUAUAUAAAACAGGGAAAGACGCGUACGUCACUGAGAUUGACGAAAGAAGUAUCAUUACCACGAUCGUCUGUACGUUCAUUUUUAAUGAAUUCUGUCAUAAAAACAAACAAUUUGUCUUCAAAAAACUUCGGGUAAUUAAUGGUUUACACGGAACAUUUAAAAUUUACAUUUUUCUUCAGCUGUUUUUUACUUUUGUAUUUUUCUGUGUUUGUAUAAAUAUUGUGGAUUGAUGUGAACUUUUAAAAAAUUUAUGAAAGGGUUAAUUGAUAUAUUCUGCGGUGUAAGGAUUUUAGAAUGUAGAGAGAUUCGCGAAUCUAGGACUUUAGGAGUCUAAGAGAUUUAGGGAUUUAGGGAUCCUCGGAUCUAGGGAUGCAAGGAUCUAGGGAUGCAAGGAUCUAGGGAUCCACGGAUCUAGGGAUCCACCGAUCUAGGGAUCCACCGAUCUAGGGAUCCACCGAUCUAGGGAUCCACCGAUCUAGGGAUCCACCGAUCUAGGGAUCCACCGAUCUAGGGAUCCACCGAUCUAGGGAUCCACCGAUCUAGGGAUGCAAGGAUCUAGGGAUCCACGGAUUUAGGAAUCCACCGAUCCAGGGAUCCACCGAUCUAAGGAUCCACCGA